RNAcentral lists this long non-coding RNA (3880 nucleotides) under Brassica napus (rape). Its description in RNAcentral is "long non-coding RNA (BNAP_LNC011667)". Lineage: Eukaryota; Viridiplantae; Streptophyta; Magnoliopsida; Brassicales; Brassicaceae. The record is from RNAcentral.
UGUAGAUGGCGCAAAUCACCGAAUUGGCUCGGAAUCUCACCGGAGAAGCUGUUGUUUCCCAAAUUGAGUAUCUGGAGGUUUCCGAGUUGACUCAGCUCCGUCGGUAAAGACCCGUUGAGGCUAUUCAACGCCACGGUGAACAAAACGAGGCUGGUGCAGUUUCCUAACUCGGGCGGAAUCGGUCCUUGGAGGUAGUUUUGUUGUAGAAUUAAGGCUUGGAGGUUAACGAGUCGACCGAGUUGACUCGGUAUUGAACCGGUGAGUCUACACUUGGCCAAUGCGAGCGUCUGGAGAUUGACGAGGUUACCGAACGUAUCCGGGAUUGAUCCGAUUAGGUCGUUGUCUCCGAGUUUUAACGACCUGAGGUUCACGAGUGAGCCGAGUUGACUCGGUAGCUCGCCGGUGAGUUGGUUAGAGAAGAGAUGCAAAGUUUCCAAGGAGGCGGAGAGGUUGGAGAGAGCAGUUGGGAUGGGACCCACGAGACUGUUGGAAGAUAGAUCGAGGUGGAUUAGGUUACUAAACCGGCCAAUCGAAGGAGAGAUUGAACCGGUUAAGUCAAAAUCAGAGAGAUUUAAACCGAUGACGACACGACCACGGCACGUGACACCGGUCCAGUUGCAGUAAUUGAGAUCAUCUGAAUUCCAGUUUUGGAGAACCUUUUCGUCUUCUGGGUUUAUCACAAUAGACUUCUUCACUUCGAGAAGAGUUUGAAGAUCGUCACUUUGAACCGGCUGACCCAAACCCGGCCCGAUCGAAAACCAGAGGACGAGCAACACAAUAAGAAGAGAACUUUGCUGCAUUUUUUUCCCUUCGUUUUUCUUCUUCUUCUUCAGAAACAAGAGACGUAUGAAAGUGAAUGAAGUAUCUUGAGUUUCUUGUGGUGAUUAGUGUGAGACUAGUGUUGGAAACAUAGAGAAUUUAAGACAAUUGUUGGUCCCUUUGGUUGAAGACGAAUGAUUGGUCGUAAGAACGGUGCAUGGGGACUCUCUCUCUCUAUCUAUCCAUCUAUAUGACAUAUAAUCUGAGCAUAUGUUUGUGUAUAUAUAUAUAUGUUUAAUGUGGUGAGUUAGAGGAGAAGUUAAUGCAGAUAAAGCUAGGGAUGGGGGUAUAAGUUUAAAUCUAUAUAGAUAUCUAUACUAUUGAUCCCAUUGUCAUAAUUACCUUAGGGUCAUGUUUCAUUCACUAACAUUGCAUGUUUCAUUAAGGGCAAUUAAGUAAUAUUAAUAACAAAUCUAUAUUGGGUCAUUAUUUUUGGAUCCAGCCCAAAUCAAAUCUCUCUUGGGCCAUUUGGGCCUAUUAAAAAAUCAGAUUCAAUUCUCACCUUUUUUUUUCCUUUGGACCAUUGAGUCCAAGUUCAAAUAAUUUUUUUUCAACUAUUCUUAAUUAUUAUUUUUUUCUUUUCUUAAUAUAAUUUAAGCAUUCAUAAAAAUAAUUGAAUUUUUUUAUUGAAAAGUAUAAAUCUUUAUUAAAAGUAUAUAAUUUUUUAAUUAAAAUAUUAACCCCAUAAUAAAAUUAAUUUAUCAGAGUUAUACCAACUUAAUUCAUUAAAAAAAUAAAGUUUAAUUUUUUUAACAUAAAUAGUCAUUUAAAAUGAAAUACGAUAAAUAAAGAUAAAAUUUUUAAGUCUUUUAUAAAAUAAAACACAAAUAUAUGAAAAUGUGACAUUUACUAAAUAUUUGUCAAUUGAAAAAAAAAACAAAAAUAAACCCGCGCUUUGAAAGCGCGGGUCAAAAUCUAGUNNNNNNNNNNNNNNNNNNNNNNNNNNNNNNNNNNNNNNNNNNNNNNNNNNNNNNNNNNNNNNNNNNNNNGCUUGCCAUUUAGAGAACUGCUUCUUCAACUUCCCCUCGAGGUUGUUGUAAGAGAGGUUGAGAUACACUAAGCUCUUCAUGUCCCCGAUCUGUCCAGGAACAACUCCGAUAAGGUGAUUGUGAGACAGAUCAAGUGAUUCAAGCUUAUGUAACGUCGAGAUCGUAGAUGGAAUGUCUCCGGUGAAGUUGUUGUAGCUGAGAUCUAAAGCACUUUGAAGAUCCUGUAGCUGUCCAAUCUCAACAGGGAUUUCUUCGGAUAAGAUGUUUCUCGAUAACCGGAGCUCGUAAAGCUUGCUCAGCUUGCCUAUUUCUGAAGGAAGCUCACCUGAAAACUGAUUCUUUCCGAGGUUAAGUACAUUGAGUGCUUCAAAGUUUCCAAUCUCUUGUGGGAUUGAACCGUUAAGUGAGUUUCCAUCGAGAGAUAGCACAAGAAGCUUUGUUAAGUUGAAAAUCUCCUUAGGGAGUGAACCGGUAAACUGAUUAGAAGAAAGCUUGAGCUCACCAAGCAGUGGAAGCUUCCCAAGCCAUGGAGGUAUAACCCCUGAAAGAAAGUUAUCGUUGAGAUCAAUGUGUGUCAGCUUCUUACACAAACCAAGCUCUAACGGUAUGUUUCCUGUCAGAGAGUUGCUCGAGACAUCCAACAAAGACAAAGCACUAAUCUUCCCAAAUGUCCAAGGGAUUCUUCCUGUGAACUGAUUCUUCCCUAACCUUAACCGGUCGAGACUCCGAGACUUCCCUAGCUGAAGAGGUACAUCUCCCUCGAAUUCGUUAUCCGUGACAUCAAAAGAGAGAUAAGAGCUUGAACCGCACAACGCACUGAUCGAGCCAUUGAGCUUGUUGCUUGAGAAGUUGAUCCUUGUGAGAUUCUUCAGGUUGAUGAGCGAACUCGGAAGACUCCCCCGAAGAGAAUUGUUGUAAAGAUGCAACUGUUCUAACGACUUCAAGAACCCGAACGAGGAAGGAAUCGAACCCGAGAGCUGGUUGUCAGCUAAAUCAAGAAUCGUCAGCUUGUGACAGUUACCUAAAGCGGCGGGAAUGUUACCAACGAACUCGUUCUCUCUCAAGUGAAGCAGAGUAAGGUCAUCUAAUCUCCCAAUAGAGGAAGGAAUCUCUCCACUGAAAUGAUUCCCAAACAUAUCAACCGACUUCAGACUCGUGCAGUUCCCAAUCUCGGUCGGGAUUUCACCGGAAAACCGGUUCUCGUAUAGAUACAGAACUUCUAAUUUGCUGAGGAAACCGAUUUCGUUAGGUAACUUCCCCUCCAAGUCAUUGUGAUACAGAGCAAGCUCUUGUAGAUUCCUUAGGCUAGAUAUUGGGUGAGAUAACGUACCCUUCAAGGUAUUGUUGUUAAGAUAUAAAACCGUGAGUUCAGCGAGCUUGAACAAUGAAUCUGGGAUUCGUCCGGAGAGCGUGUUGUUCGACAGAUCAAGCGCUUGUAAUGACUGACAUUUGCUAACUUCCGCCGGGAUUUCGCCGGAGAGUUGAGUUCCAGACAAAACCAGUUGCUUCAAGCUUGUGUUGUUAGAGCACAAGCUCUUUCGUAAGGAACCAGAGAGACGGUUAUUGGCUAGAACCAAAUCUUCAAGCUGGUUCAUAUUCCAGAACUCUUCGUGUAUCUCUCCGGUGAGAUUGUUGUUGGACAAAUCAAGGGUUUGAAGAUUCUCCAAACCGGUUACUCUCUUUGGAAUCGGACCUUGAAGUCUGUUACCAACCAAGUUAAGGUAGUGUAGAUGGCGCAAAUCACCGAAUUGGCUCGGAAUCUCACCGGAGAAGCUGUUGUUUCCCAAAUUGAGUAUCUGGAGGUUUCCGAGUUGACUCAGCUCCGUCGGUAAAGACCCGUUGAGGCUAUUCAACGCCACGGUGAACAAAACGAGGCUGGUGCAGUUUCCUAACUCGGGCGGAAUCGGUCCUUGGAGGUAGUUUUGUUGUAGAAUUAAGGCUUGGAGGUUAACGAGUCGACCGAGUUGACUCGGUAUUGAACCGGUGAGUCUACACUUGGCCAAUGCGAGCGUCUGGAGAUUGACGAGGUUACCGAACGUAUCCGGGAUUGAUCCGAUUAGGUCGUUGUCUCC